Molecule: long non-coding RNA, 424 nt
Filed under: Homo sapiens (human)
Lineage: Eukaryota; Metazoa; Chordata; Mammalia; Primates; Hominidae
Description: HSALNT0084409
Source: RNAcentral
GCUGAGUGUCCUUUACUACUAAGCUUAAGAGUUCAUACUACAGGCACCUGGGGGCCACCAAGAGGUUUUACUGGUCUGGCUGGUUGUUAUUGCUGCUGUUGUUGUUGCUUCGAGUAAGCGGAAGAGAUGAUAGCAGUGUGGAGGACGACUGUGACGGGGUAGAAAGGAAGAAGGGCGCCACUGUAUGCCUGGGCUGCCAUCAGCAGCAUUGACUCAUUGCUAAAAGAGGGGAAAGCUCAGGACUCUAAAUCCUGAAUCCUUCAGACAGUCCUGCCAUUUCCCAAACAUUGCACCAACAUCAUGAAAUACUUUAAAAUCAAUAAAAAUGCAUGUGGCAGAAGGCAAUUAUUCAUACAUUAUCUGAAAACAAUAAAGGAAGAUAUACCUUCCAUUCAAUUUUCAGGAUUAUAUAUAUUACAGGUGA